CCCCGUUCUCACAGAGAAUCGGUAGAACGGCGGACUGUUAAUCCGUAUGUCGCUGGUUCAAGUCCAGCUGGAGGAGCCA
RNAcentral lists this transfer RNA (79 nucleotides) under Morganella morganii. RNAcentral's name for it is "tRNA-Asn". The stretch from base 7 to 76 matches the Rfam family "tRNA". Rfam says of the family: Transfer RNA (tRNA) molecules are approximately 80 nucleotides in length. Lineage: Bacteria; Pseudomonadati; Pseudomonadota; Gammaproteobacteria; Enterobacterales; Morganellaceae. The record is from RNAcentral.